ACGAACGCUGGCGGCGUGCCUAAUACAUGCAAGUAGAACGCUGAAGGAGGAGCUUGCUUCUCUGGAUGAGUUGCGAACGGGUGAGUAACGCGUAGGUAACCUGCCUGGUAGCGGGGGAUAACUAUUGGAAACGAUAGCUAAUACCGCAUAAUAGUAGAUGUUGCAUGACAUUUACUUAAAAGGUGCAAUUGCAUCACUACCAGAUGGACCUGCGUUGUAUUAGCUAGUUGGUGGGGUAACGGCUCACCAAGGCGACGAUACAUAGCCGACCUGAGAGGGUGAUCGGCCACACUGGGACUGAGACACGGCCCAGACUCCUACGGGAGGCAGCAGUAGGGAAUCUUCGGCAAUGGACGAAAGUCUGACCGAGCAACGCCGCGUGAGUGAAGAAGGUUUUCGGAUCGUAAAGCUCUGUUGUAAGAGAAGAACGAGUGUGAGAGUGGAAAGUUCACACUGUGACGGUAUCUUACCAGAAAGGGACGGCUAACUACGUG
This 494-nucleotide ribosomal RNA is filed under the name uncultured bacterium. RNAcentral's name for it is "partial 16S ribosomal RNA". It matches the Rfam family "Bacterial small subunit ribosomal RNA", at positions 29 to 507 of the family's 1533-position model. The record is from RNAcentral.